RNAcentral lists this unclassified non-coding RNA (339 nucleotides) under soil metagenome. RNAcentral's name for it is "partial contains 5.8S ribosomal RNA, internal transcribed spacer 2, and large subunit ribosomal RNA". The stretch from base 3 to 120 matches the Rfam family "5.8S ribosomal RNA", at positions 37 to 154 of the family's 154-position model. The record is from RNAcentral.
GCUGAAGAACGUAGUGAAAUGCGAUACGUAGUGUGAAUUGCAGAAUUCAGUGAAUCAUCGAAUCUUUGAACGCACAUUGCACCUCUCGGUAUUCCGGGAGGUAUGCCUGUUCGAGCGUCAUUUGUACCCUCAAGCUCUGCUUGGUGUUGGGUGUUUGUUCCGCCUCUGUGUGUGAACUCGCCUCAAAACAAUUGGCAGCCGGCGUACUUGUUUCGGAGCGCAGCACAUUUUGCGAUCCAGAUCAACGUACAGCGGCAUCCAAGAAGCCUUAUUUAACGCUCUUGACCUCGGAUCAGGUAGGGAUACCCGCUGAACUUAAGCAUAUCAAUAAGCGGAGGA